This 167-nucleotide ribosomal RNA is filed under the name Camoensia brevicalyx. Its description in RNAcentral is "5.8S ribosomal RNA". It matches the Rfam family "5.8S ribosomal RNA". Rfam says of the family: 5.8S ribosomal RNA (5.8S rRNA) is a component of the large subunit of the eukaryotic ribosome. It is transcribed by RNA polymerase I as part of the 45S precursor that also contains 18S and 28S rRNA. Lineage: Eukaryota; Viridiplantae; Streptophyta; Magnoliopsida; Fabales; Fabaceae. The record is from RNAcentral.
AUCCAUAACGACUCUYGGCAACGGAUAUCUCGGCUCUUGCAUCGAUGAAGAACGUAGCGAAAUGCGAUACUUGGUGUGAAUUGCAGAAUCCCGUGAACCAUCGAGUCUUUGAACGCAAGUUGCGCCCGAAGCCACUAGGCCGAGGGCACGCCUGCCUGGGUGUCGCA